GCGGACGGACGUAGCGGGGCCCUCUCUGCGCACGCGCAUUGCGCAGUUGGAAACCAUGUUUCGUUCCUGCUUCUAGCAGUCCCUGGAUUAGAUACCCGCUCUCUGCACCUCGUAAAAUUGCUGCAGUAUGACCCUAUCUUCAAAGAAAUAAAGGAGAAAAAUACAUUGUGUUACAAGACGAAGAAACCAAACUCGUCAUGAAGUUGGUAGAAGAUACAAGACCGGGACUGAGCUUGUUGGUACAGCAUGAGCUACUGAGGAACUAGUACUUUUGUGUCUCUGUCUACCAUUAAUGGAUGUUGAGUUUAGAGCCAGAGGACCUGCCACAGGCCGGCUGUGGCAAAGCAAGGUGACCCUCCAGCAAAGGCUACAAGUAGACAACGAGGCCAAGCAGCUUAAGGAAAAACAGCAGAAACUCAGGGUUCUGUAGCUCUUCAGAAUUGAAGAGAAGCAGAGUCAGUGAGUAGGAAAUGUUCCUGUUCCUCAGUCUGCAAGUCCUGAGCCACCCGAGUGGCUUAGUCGGAAACAAGAAGAGACCAGUGUUGGCCGCAGUGUCCUCAUUUCUUCACCCUAUUCUUUUUUCUGGUUUGGUUGCAGAAAUGCCUGAGAAGAGCAAGUCACAAUAAAAACUGUUCUCCUUACCAAA
This is a long non-coding RNA of Neofelis nebulosa (Clouded leopard), 646 nucleotides long. RefSeq lists it as uncharacterized. The record is from RefSeq and is a predicted model, not a curated record. Lineage: Eukaryota; Metazoa; Chordata; Mammalia; Carnivora; Felidae. The transcript is spliced from 5 exons.